RNAcentral lists this ribosomal RNA (200 nucleotides) under uncultured bacterium. RNAcentral describes it as "partial 16S ribosomal RNA". It matches the Rfam family "Bacterial small subunit ribosomal RNA", at positions 8 to 205 of the family's 1533-position model. The record is from RNAcentral.
AGAGUUUGAUCCUGGCUCAGAUUGAACGCUGGCGGCGUGCCUAACACAUGCAAGUCGAGCGGUAACGCGGGAGCAAUCCUGGCGACGAGCGGCGAACGGGUGAGUAAUGCUUCGGAAUCUGCCUGUUGGUGGGGAAUAACCAGCCGAAAGGUUGGCUAAUACCGCAUAAGUCUCCUUUUCUUGGUUGAGGAGGAGGGAAA